CCCGUGUCAUCCUCGCUGUCACCCGCGUCCCCAACGGCCCCCGCCCGGUUGGUGUUGACGAAGAGCUCCCCGUCCCCGGGGGGGGGGUGGCUGCCUCGGGGACACGGGGGGGAGUCACACGGGUGACACGGGACACGGUGAGGUCACAUGGUGACAUGGGGGUCACAGUGACAUGGGGGGUCACAGGGUGACAUGGGGGUUACAUGGUGACAUGGGACACGGUGAGGUCACACGGUGACACAAGGGGGUCACACAAUGACACAGGGAUGAUGCAGUGACACAGGAUGUGGUGAGGUCACACAAUGACACGGGGGGUCACACGGUGACACGGGACGCGGUGAGAUCACGCAGUGAC
Long non-coding RNA from Grus americana (Whooping crane), 355 nucleotides. RefSeq lists it as uncharacterized. The record is from RefSeq and is a predicted model, not a curated record. The transcript is spliced from 3 exons. Lineage: Eukaryota; Metazoa; Chordata; Aves; Gruiformes; Gruidae.